GCUGCACAUUUCUCAUAUGAAAAGAUGUCUCUGUCACUGAAAUACAAUAUCUGAGUGAUAAACUCAUGUUUUCAGUCCAUAGACCACUGGCUUCAGGCAGGAAGGACAACGGUGGAAGGGUCUGGCAAGGACAGCUGUUCACAUCCUGAUAGUCAGGAAGCAACGAGAGAAGGGAGGAGCGGAGAGGGAGAGGAGCCCUCCCAGACAACCCCCUACCCAGUGACCCAUGUCUUGUAACAAGAUCCCAUCUCCUCAGGUGCUGAACUUACACAGUGGAUUUGCAUAGCACCCCACCAUCCAAUCGUCUUCCGAAAGCCCUGCCCUAUGAGCUCAUGAGGCUUUUGGGGGAACUUUCUUGACCCCUACAAUGAAGGUGGUGGCAGCAGUGGAGGGCAGAUGAAUCACGAAAUGCAGUGGAAUGUGCUCCAUGGGCAAAAGCAUCUCGGGAUUGCAAUGGGGAGAGCCAGCCCUAGGUGGCAGAAGUUGAUUUCCUCUCCUUCCUCUCCAAAUCUUAAAGGACAGAAGGAAUAUGUAAGUAACAAAGACGUUUGCAGCUUAGUGGUGGACACGCA
This 572-nucleotide long non-coding RNA is filed under the name Fukomys damarensis (Damara mole-rat). RNAcentral's name for it is "lncRNA (ENSFDAG00000025109.1)". The record is from RNAcentral. Lineage: Eukaryota; Metazoa; Chordata; Mammalia; Rodentia; Bathyergidae.